CAGCACUCUUUCUGCAUUACAACACCAAGUGAACAUCCAAAUUGUCAGUUAGUAAGAGAAAGCACAAGGUCAGCAAAAAAUUAGAAAGACUAAAAGGAAACUAAAGAAACUAACAAAGGCUUUUAUUGUUUGGUUGUUAGGUAGCUUUCAUUAAAACUCCAAAAAAGAGGCAACCUUCACACUCAUUUAGUAGAAUACUGACAAGAAGAAUAAAAAAAAUCAAUCAUAACAAGCUUCCAAAGAUGAUAUUCAUAAUUCAAUGGGGCUACAGGAGGAUGACAAAUCCUCACACACCCCAUCCCACACGACCAAGAGUACAACAAAAGCAAAAAAACCACAUAAGAAAGAAGAAUCCGGGCUAAACAAAGGCAAACAAAGCAACACUCCAGAGCCCAGGAAAAAAAAAAAAAAGUCUUAAGAAUGACAUCAUAGCAAAAUUAAACUAACAUUACCAAGUCUACAUCUAGUUCAUCACUAAUAUGAAAUCCUCACCUUGUCUCCUAAUUAAUGGUUCAAAUACAAAUUAAAAAGUUGUGAACCUGCAGAGACCAUAGCCCAAUAUUAAAACCUAAAACUUAGAAUAUAAAUUAGAAAACUCACGUUUUGGUAGGAUGCCUAUUAAAGUACUCAGAUACACACUUCUUUAGUAUAAGUUACACAGAUAAUGGUAUUUAUAGGACGAACCCAGAAUCCAUUGAUCCUCCUUCGCUGAUACAAACCAAAGUUUGUCAGUUGCUCACCAGAGUGAGUUAUUGGGAUUCAAGAAAUAGGUUUCACUUCCACUUUCG
This 788-nucleotide long non-coding RNA is filed under the name Prunus persica (peach). Its description in RNAcentral is "long non-coding RNA (PPER_LNC006460)". The record is from RNAcentral. Lineage: Eukaryota; Viridiplantae; Streptophyta; Magnoliopsida; Rosales; Rosaceae.